This 862-nucleotide ribosomal RNA is filed under the name Salmonella enterica subsp. enterica serovar Cullingworth. RNAcentral describes it as "partial 23S ribosomal RNA". It matches the Rfam family "Bacterial large subunit ribosomal RNA", at positions 956 to 1735 of the family's 2925-position model. The record is from RNAcentral. Lineage: Bacteria; Pseudomonadati; Pseudomonadota; Gammaproteobacteria; Enterobacterales; Enterobacteriaceae.
GCGAAUACCGGAGAAUGUUAUCACGGGAGACACACGGCGGGUGCUAACGUCCGUCGUGAAGAGGGAAACAACCCAGACCGCCAGCUAAGGUCCCAAAGUCAUGGUUAAGUGGGAAACGAUGUGGGAAGGCCCAGACAGCCAGGAUGUUGGCUUAGAAGCAGCCAUCAUUUAAAGAAAGCGUAAUAGCUCACUGGUCGAGUCGGCCUGCGCGGAAGAUGUAACGGGGCUAAACCAUGCACCGAAGCUGCGGCAGCGAACGUAUCACUUAAAGCGAUUCAGCGGGUUACGAUUGACGGAGCGAAGCGACGUCAAAGCGUAUACAAAGUCGAGUCGGUUUAAGGAUACGUUCGUUGGGUAGGGGAGCGUUCUGUAAGCCUGUGAAGGUGGCCUGUGAGGGUUGCUGGAGGUAUCAGAAGUGCGAAUGCUGACAUAAGUAACGAUAAAGCGGGUGAAAAGCCCGCUCGCCGGAAGACCAAGGGUUCCUGUCCAACGUUAAUCGGGGCAGGGUGAGUCGACCCCUAAGGCGAGGCCGAAAGGCGUAGUCGAUGGGAAACGGGUUAAUAUUCCCGUACUUGGUGUUACUGCGAAGGGGGGACGGAGAAGGCUAUGUUGGCCGGGCGACGGUUGUCCCGGUUUAAGCGUGUAGGUGUGUGUUCCAGGUAAAUCCGGUUCACUUUAACACUGAGGCGUGACGACGAGGCACUACGGUGCUGAAGCAACAAAUGCCCUGCUUCCAGGAAAAGCCUCUAAGCAUCAGGUAACAUCAAAUCGUACCCCAAACCGACACAGGUGGUCAGGUAGAGAAUACCAAGGCGCUUGAGAGAACUCGGGUGAAGGAACUAGGCAAAAUGGUGCCGUAACU